GCAUUGGUGAUUUAGUGGUAGAAUUCUCGCCUGCCACGCGGGAGACCCUGGUCCGAUUUCCGGCCAAGGCA
This is a non-coding RNA of Danio rerio (zebrafish), 71 nucleotides long. The record is from Rfam. NCBI's taxonomy places the organism in Eukaryota, Metazoa, Chordata, Actinopteri, Cypriniformes, Danionidae.